This is a non-coding RNA of Sus scrofa (pig), 1115 nucleotides long. The record is from RefSeq and is a predicted model, not a curated record. NCBI's taxonomy places the organism in Eukaryota, Metazoa, Chordata, Mammalia, Artiodactyla, Suidae.
AUCAAACCUGCGUCCCAGCACUUGCAAGAUGCCACGCACGCCACAGCAGGAACUCCCUUUCCUGCUUUUUGGUACAGUAUUUUAACUUCGGUUCUUCAGUGUGCGGCUCGAUGUCUGCCAGCUCUUCCUCCCGAGCGGGGGAGCUCUUCUGGUUCCUUCCCUGAGCGUCACCACAGGCGGGGCCCGCCUCGUCCGUCCUGGCCAGCUCGCUGCCUGGGGACGCAGAGGCCCGGCCCCGCUUCUGCGCCCAUGCUGGCCUCUGGCACGGAAAUCAUGAGGCACAGCUCCCUCGCCCAAGAAGCCUACUGUGAGUGGAGCCUGGCAAAGGCAGUUGCUAAGGCCCGUGGCUGCUCUUCCCAAACUGCUGAGAGGGCAGAUAAGUGGCAGCACCUGCCCCUGGCAUGGCCCUCACUGUUUUCCUCUAAAACGUCAGCCCCAUGAGGCCAGUGGCCUAUGUCUCUCGGUCGCUCUUGUAUCACCAGUGCCCAGAGCAGGGCCUAGGACAGAGCAAAACUUUCAAUCAAUAUUUAAGUGAAUGCCUCUGGAAAUGGGCCCCAGGAAUUAACAAUCACGUGGGACGUGGCAUGGUGACAGCGGAAUGUCACUGCUGUAACCGAGCGAGUGCCCCGUGGGGCUCCUGGGCACACAGACCUUUCUGUGUCCCCCAUUGCUUCUUUUUAGGGAGUAAGCCUUGGCCUCCAGGACCUCCCCUGAGCUCCAAGGGGCAGGUUCAAACAGUUGCUAACAGGGGGAAGGGAGGGGAUGCAGAGGCCCGAGAGGAGCCGUCAAGAAAUGACAGCGGUGGUCUGGGGGCAGGUCCUGGCCCCUCCUCCAGGAACACAGACAACGAUAUCUCUGAGUUCUUCCACAGAAGGACACCGCCCAACACAUGGACGGUGUGCAGGAAGCCGCCUUCAUUCCGGAAAGACCACCACCAGACCGCCAGACACCAGCUUGGAAGACAACGCCAGCUCACCAAUCCCCGAUCCUUAUCUGCAGCCCCGUUCUUCUCCCCCAGUCUCUCCUGAGGGGGCAUGGUCUUUGAGGCAUGAGCCUGCUGUAACUCUCCUUUGCCUGGUAAAGCAAUAAAGCUGUUUUUUCUCCUUCGCCCCAAA